GGAUUCUAGCUUUGUGGUUGAAAGAAAAAUCAGUGCUAUUGAUAAAAGAAUUUCAUGACAUUAAAAAAUGAGUUCAGAGUGACUCUCUGGAAUGUUGCCUUACUAUCAAUUUCACAUCUGACCUCCAAAAUAUUAGUACCAUGAAAAAGUUGAAGCCAACAGAAUGAGGAAAUAGUACUCAAACCUUUCAACUCUGCCUUUACAAAGACAAUGUAUCUGAAAAGAAAGACCUAUCACCAAGGAAACCUGAAAUCACCAAUCUUUCCAUUUCCCAGAAUGUACUUGCAAGCUGGUACCCACUUUUCAGGCAAGUUUCACUGCCAUUGAUUCGAGGGCAGGAGGAAGAAGAAUGGCCCA
This 357-nucleotide long non-coding RNA is filed under the name Vulpes vulpes (red fox). RNAcentral describes it as "lncRNA (ENSVVUG00000013670.1)". The record is from RNAcentral. Lineage: Eukaryota; Metazoa; Chordata; Mammalia; Carnivora; Canidae.